This 3161-nucleotide long non-coding RNA is filed under the name Mytilus galloprovincialis (Mediterranean mussel). The record is from RNAcentral. Lineage: Eukaryota; Metazoa; Mollusca; Bivalvia; Mytilida; Mytilidae.
GGGGAGGACAGGGGUAAGGGAGACAGGGAGAAAGGGGGUAGGAGAAAGGAGAAAGGGGGAGGGAGAAAGGAGAAAGGGGGUAGGAGAAAGGAGAGGAAGGCUGGGAGAAAGGAGAAAAAGUUGGAGAAAGGAGAAAAAAUAAAAUAUCUCUCCUUUUAAGAAAUGAUCGAAUAUUUCAAGAAAAAAUAUCAAAACAUUAUCUUUUAAUCGAAUUUCAAUUUAAAAGUGAUACCGAUAGCUUAAAUGAUCAAUCUAGUAUGAAUUAUACGUUCCAUUAGAUUAACACUAGUCCGAGAUUACUCUGACGUCCAACGGCUGUUUUGCCAGACAAGCUGGGGCCGUGUCUGGCAAAACAGCCGUUGGACGUCAGAGUAAACUAGAUUAAAUCCGGAUUUUAACUCAACGUUUGAUUACGUUUUGACUUCGUUACUUACAAUUUUACGUUGAACGUUAUAAAAAGGAAAUUUUAGAUUUAGAGAUGGAACAUUUUGAUAGCAAUAAACUAGGGGUUGAUGGUGCAACUGAAAAACUAAACAAAAUUUUACAAACUAUUGCAGAAAAUACAUGUAAAGUCAUAUCUAAACCAACAAAAAAGAAAAAGAAAAAAAUUAAACAAGUAUGGUCAGAUAAUGUAGUAUAUGAAACAAAAAGACAAAUAAACUAUUUAGGAAAUAAAAUCAAGAAUAACUUAAAUGACAAAAGUUUAAAAUCUAAAUAUUUUGAAUUAUGUAAAAAACUAAAAAAAAUGAUUAAACAGAAAAAAUUUGAAUAUCACCAAAAACUUUAUAAAUCACUUUCAGAUAAUUUAAAAAAUAAUCCAAAAGAAUACUGGAAUGUUCUAAAGGCAAUAAAAAAGAAACCAAAUAUUGAAGAAGAUAUUCCUGAAAUUUUAAUGAAUGAAAAUAAAAUCAUAAAACAUUUUCAGGAUCAGGGUACACCAGCCUCAUAUGAUAAAUCCUUUGUAAAUAAACUGGAACGUGAACUAAACAUUAUAGAAGAUAAUAUUGAAUUGAAUAUGGAAACUGAUGCACCAAUUACAUUUGCUGAAGUAAAACUGGUCAUUUCAAACCUUAAAGUAAACAAAUCAGCAGGUCCAGAUAGAAUUGUGAAUGAAAUACUCAAACACUCACAACCUGUGAUAAUUAAUUCUAUUGUAAAAGUUUUUAAUUUGAUUUUAAAGACAGGUAAUUAUCCAGAUUCUUGGAAAUUAUCUUUCAUGAUCCCUUUACAUAAAAAAGGUGACAAGUUAGACCCUAAUAAUUAUAGAGGCAUUUCUCUUAUAAGUAAUCUACCAAAAAUUUUUAAUGCCAUAUUAAAUAAUAGGCUAAUCAAGAUUGUUGACAAACAAUUAAGUGAUUGUCAGUUUGGUUUCAGAGAAAAUCACAGAACAGCUGAUAGCAUCUUUUUAUUAAAGUCCUUGAUUAAUAAAUAUUUACAUAAAGAGAAAAAAAAGAUUUAUGCCUGCUUCAUAGAUCUGAAAAAGGCUUUUGAUUCAGUAUGGAGAACUGCUUUACUUUAUAAAUUAUGUAAAAUGGGAGUUGGCAAGUCUUUUUAUAGAGUUAUAAAACAACAAUACUUAAAUACUAAAUCAUCUUUAAAAUAUAAAGAUUAUGUAUCAGAAUAUUUUAAUAUUGCUAGAGGGGUUAAACAGGGAGACACACUAAGUCCCACUUUAUUUAAUGUCUUUAUAAAUGAUAUUGUAAAAAAAUUUUGAGGGAAAUGAUUCAAGUCCCCUUAAACUUAUAAAUAGUAAGGUAGGAUGCCUUCUUUUUGCGGAUGAUCUUUUAAUCCUGUCAGAAUCAAAAGAGGGUCUACAAAACAGUUUAAAUAACGUUAAAUUAUAUUGUAACAAAUGGCAACUCUCUUUGAAUACAAACAAAACUAAAUCCAUGAUUUUUAGUCAGUCAAAAACAUAAAAAGUGAAACAUCACAUAUUUACUAUGAGAAUAAAGCCAUAGAGAGUGUAACAGAAUAUUCAUUUUUGGGAAUGUUGAUAAAAUGUAAUGGAAAUUUAUCACAAAGUACUUUAGAGCUGACAAAAAAAGCAAAAAAAGUAUUUUUUGCAAUAAAAUCAUAUACUAAAUCAUUGAAUAAUCUACCUAUAAAAGUAGCAAAUAAUCUUUUUGAUUCUUUAGUAAAACCAAUUAUGACCUAUAAUUCAGAAGUAACAUAUUUGGAUACAUAUAUUUCUUUUCAUCGAGCCAAAAGCAGAGCCUUAACUUCAGGAAAAGAAAUUAAUCAACUUGAUUUUAUAGACAAAACCCCCAUAGAAAAUAUGCAUCUUAAAUUUUGUAAAUCUACUCUAGGGAUAAGAAAAAAUGCAUCCAAUUUAGGAGCAAGAGUUGAAUUAGGAAGAUUGCCUAUAGAAUGUUUUAUUAAAACACAAACCCUUUUAUAUUUAGCUAGACUAUAUAAUAAUAAUAUUAAUCCAUUGUUAAAGGAAGCUUUUUCUCUAGCACAGUCUCUAGAUUUGACAGGAACUUACUCAUGGUAUACAUAUGCUAAAAAUAUUGUUAAAGAGACUAACGUUGACCUUAAUAUUCUUUCUACUUGUAAGGACAUAAAAGAUGUAAAUAAAAUAAAAAACGAUAUAAAGUUAAAAAUGAAAAAUAGAUAUGAAGAUUUAAUUCAAAAUAAAUUUCAAAACAUCGAUGAUAAAAGUAAAUUUUUUCUCUAUAAAAAACUUAAAAAAGAUUACAAACUAGAAUAUUAUCUAAAUACAUCUAAUUUUCAGAUAAGGAGAUUAAUCACUAAAUUUAGAAUAAGUGAUCACUCCCUCUUGAUUGAAAAGGAGAGAUAUUUUAAAAUCCCAAGAGAGGAACGUCUUUGCCAUAAAUGUAAAAUACUAGAGGAUGAGAAACAUUUUUUACUAUAUUGUGAGUAUAAUAAAACUCUAAGAAAUGAAUUUUUUCAUCACAUAUGUACAGAAAAUAAUAACUUUAAUAAUUUAAAUGAAGAAGAAAAAAUUCAUUAUUUACUAAAUCCAUCAUCGCCUUUACAAACAAAUAAGUUAGGAUCCUUCUUGAAAAAGUCAUUAGAACUGAGGGCAGGGGACUCUUAACAACUUGUUUGUUGUUAUAAAUUUUAAUGCUGUUGAUAUUUUGUAUGUUUAAUAUGUAUGUAUAUAUGUUUAUUGUGUUUAUUGUAUUAAUAUAUGUUGG